GUGCCAGCAGCCGCGGUAAUACGUAGGGUGCGAGCGUUAAUCGGAAUUACUGGGCGUAAAGCGUGCGCAGGCGGUUUGCUAAGACCGAUGUGAAAUCCCCGGGCUCAACCUGGGAACUGCAUUGGUGACUGGCAGGCUAGAGUAUGGCAGAGGGGGGUAGAAUUCCACGUGUAGCAGUGAAAUGCGUAGAGAUGUGGAGGAAUACCGAUGGCGAAGGCAGCCCCCUGGGCCAAUACUGACGCUCAUGCACGAAAGCUGUGGGGAGCCAAAACAGGGAUUAGAUAACCUGGUAGUUCC
Molecule: ribosomal RNA, 297 nt
Filed under: uncultured microorganism
Description: partial 16S ribosomal RNA
Rfam family: Bacterial small subunit ribosomal RNA
Source: RNAcentral